CACUCUGGAGGGCUUGGCUGUCCUGCAUGGUGCUAUUCCUGUACCAGGAAGUGAUACUACCUGUCAGGACGCUCUCAUUGGUGCAGGUGUAGAAAGUCUUUAGCACCUGAGAGGGUAGAAAUAUCUGUAGUAAAAUAUCAUCAGUUCAACUGAAAAUGAAUCAAACAUGAGUAAUAGAAACAAUUCUGUUAGCACUUUGUGUCUUAUUCUUUUUAGAACUUGGUUUAUUAGUGUUAAUCAAUAUAAUACAGUAUAUAGUAUAAAUUAUUUCUAUACAUACACCCACACACCAUAUCUCACAGAGUACACCCCUCACAUUUUUGUAAAUAUUUUAUUAUAUCUUUUCAUGUUAUAACACUGAAGAAAUGACACUGGAAUCCUCUUCCAGUCCUCCACGAUGACAUCAUGGAGCUGGUGGAGGUUAGAGAACUUGUGCUCCUCCACCUUCUGUUUGAAGAUGCCCCACAGAUGCUCAAUAGGGUUUAGGUCUGGAGACAUGCUUAGUCAGUCUAUCACCUUUACACAGUACAUGUUGGAAUUCGUGGUUUCCUCAAUGAACUGUAGCUCCCCAGUGCUGGCAGCACACAUGCAGCCCCAGACUAUGACACUCCCACCACCAUGGCUGACUGUAGGCAAGACACACUUGUCUUUGUACUCAUCAUCUGGUUGCCACCACACACGCUUGACACCUUCUGAACCAAAUAAUUUUAUCUUGGUCUCAUCAGACCACAGGACAUGGUUCCAGUAACCUUAGUUAUAACCAUGUCCUUAGUCUGCUUGUCUUCAGCAAACUGCUUGCGGGCCUUCUUGUGCAUCAUAUUUAGAAGACGCUUCCUUCUGGGACGACAGCCAUGCAGACCAAUUUUGCGUAUACUCUGAGCACUGACAGGCUGACCCCCAACCCCUUCAACCUCUGCAGCAUUCAUAAGUCUAUUUUCCAAUCACAACCUCUGGAUAUGAUGCUGAUCACAUGCACUUAACUUCUUUGGUUGAUCAUGCUAAUUUGCCCCAAUUUGGACAUUUUCACUUAGGGGUGUACUCAGUUUUGUGGCCAGCGGUUUAGACAUUAAUGGCUGUGUGCUGAGUUAUUUUGAUGGGACAGCAAAUUUACACUGUUAUACGAGCUGUACACUCACUGCUUUACACUGUAGCACAAGGUCAUUUCUUUAGUAAAAAAAGAUUUCAGUUCCAGGUUGUAACACUAGAAAAUAUAGAAAGAUUCAGGUAGUGAAUACUUAUACCUGAAGGCAACCUGUAACUGAAAUUGACUUGAAACUAUCAGUCUAUACAAAAGAGCCCAUAGAAGUUAUACAAUGAAAAACAAAUUAAUUGUCUAAGACAAGCUAAAAGUUUUGUAUAGAUCAAAUUAAAUCAAAUUUUCACAUACACAGAUCCUUCUGGUAUUACUGGUUACACAUUCAGCAUGAACUGAGUGGAUUUUUACCUUUAUAAUUAAACAAAAGGGUCAUGUGACCUGAGUACAUUUCCACUCUUCCUGGAACAAAGCAGGCACAACAUCAUGUAGACAAACAGCUUUGGAUACAAGAGAAACAGAAUGAACAGAAUGAUCACUGAAUUUAAAAAUAAAAUAGACAAAUUAUGGCUCAACUGUGAUUCUGAAUGAGAGACCUUGGUGUUAAGAAGUUAUGUUUAAUCAUGACACGUGUGUGUGGGCUUCGUUUCUUUCUAAUUUUUGUAAACAGUCAAAAUAUGGAAAUGUAGAAGCCUAGAAUCAAACUUGUUGCAUUUAACCUUAACCAACUAACUAACUAACUAACUAACUAACUAACUAAUAUAUAUAUACCAGUUGUAAUUGUGUUGUGCAAUAUACUGAAUUUAAGAUUUGUCUUGCUGUUCAGUUUGAUAUGACACAAUAGAUCACAUAAUUCCAAUGUAUGUUUUUAGGCCACACCUAAAACCAGCCUGACAUGUAAACUGGAAUCAGGAUGUAUUUGUGUACAGUUUGCAUGUACUUGUGUUGUGAUGUUCUUUAUAUCACACAGAUUUUCCUUUAUGAAUCAUUUUGUCUGUUCGAGAAAAACAUUUUGUUUCUUGUAUCUGGACUAAUUAUAACAAUGGAUUAUUUGUUUAACGACACGGAUAUAGAUAAAAUUUUCUCUGUUUCAGUCCAGGAUCAACUGUACAAGGUUCGAAAAAAGAUUUCAAGGUUCCAGUUCAAUGUAAGGAAAACCCAGAAGGCCAAAAUGGAUGUAUCAUAUUUGAAAACAUUUCAUAUAGACUUCCUGUGUUGGAUGCCUAUGUUUUGAACCAUGGCCACCGAAACUCAGCUCUGAGGGUUCCUAUUCAAUGCGAGGAAAAUCCAAAAGGCCAAAAUGGGUUUGUUGUAUUUGAGAGCAGAUCAUACCGAAUAGCUCUGUCGGAUACCUACGCGGAGGAGGAUGGCCAUCAACAAUCAGUGUGUCAUGAACCACGGCAAAACCAUGUAGCACCGAAGGUUCCAGUUCAAUGUGAGGAAAAUUCAGAAGGCCAAAAUGGAUGUAUCAUAUUUGAAAACAUUUCAUAUAGACUUCAUGUGUUGAAUGCCUAUGUUUAGGACCAUGGCCACCAAAACUGAGCAGUAUGCUGCCUGGAUCACCUGGAGCUGAACAGCUUUGUACACCAUCAAUUUGCAGCCUCGUGUAGAAAACCAUGAGCCGAUCCAUGAACAUGAAGUAUUAAAUCCUGUACAUAUCAAAUGAUUACUUUUGUAUUAAACUAUUAGUCAUUUC
Long non-coding RNA from Tachysurus fulvidraco (yellow catfish), 2729 nucleotides. RefSeq lists it as uncharacterized. The record is from RefSeq and is a predicted model, not a curated record. Lineage: Eukaryota; Metazoa; Chordata; Actinopteri; Siluriformes; Bagridae. The transcript has 5 exons.